GUGGGGAAUAUUGCACAAUGGGGGAAACCCUGAUGCAGCGACGCCGCGUGCGGGAUGACGGCCUUCGGGUUGUAAACCGCUUUUAAUUGGGAGCAAGCGAGAGUGAGUGUACCUUUUGAAUAAGCACCGGCUAACUACGUGCCAGCAGCCGCGGUAAUACGUAGGGUGCAAGCAUUAUCCGGAAUUAUUGGGCGUAAAGAGCUCGUAGGCGGUUUGUCACGCCUGGUGUGAAAGUCCAUCGCUUAACGGUGGAUCUGCGCCGGGUACGGGCAGGCUAGAGUGCAGUAGGGGAGACUGGAAUUCCCGGUGUAACGGUGGAAUGUGUAGAUAUCGGGAAGAACACCAAUGGCGAAGGCAGGUCUCUGGGCUGUUACUGACGCUGAGGAGCGAAAGCAUGGGGAGCGAACAGGAUUAGAAACCCCAGUAGUCC
This 430-nucleotide ribosomal RNA is filed under the name uncultured bacterium. RNAcentral describes it as "bacterial SSU rRNA". It matches the Rfam family "Bacterial small subunit ribosomal RNA", at positions 354 to 796 of the family's 1533-position model. The record is from RNAcentral.